RNAcentral lists this ribosomal RNA (378 nucleotides) under uncultured bacterium. RNAcentral describes it as "bacterial SSU rRNA". It matches the Rfam family "Bacterial small subunit ribosomal RNA", at positions 362 to 758 of the family's 1533-position model. The record is from RNAcentral.
UAUUGGACAAUGGGCGAAAGCCUGAUCCAGCAAUGCCGCGUGAGUGAUGAGGGCCUUAGGGUUGUAAAGCUCUUUUACCCGGGAUGAUAAUGACAGUACCGGGAGAAUAAGCUCCGGCUAACUCCGUGCCAGCAGCCGCGGUAAUACGGAGGGAGCUAGCGUUGUUCGGAAUUACUGGGCGUAAAGCGCACGUAGGCGGCUUUGUAAGUUAGAGGUGAAAGCCUGGAGCUCAACUCCAGAAUUGCCUUUGAUACUGCAUCGCUUGAAUCCAGGAGAGGUGAGUGGAAUUCCGAGUGUAGAGGUGAAAUUCGUAGAUAUUCGGAAGAACACCAGUGGCGAAGGCGGCUCACUGGUCUGGUAGGACGCUGAGGUGCGAAA